UAACAUGCAAGUCGAACGAUGAAGCCGGGGCUUGCUCUGGUGGAUUAGUGGCGAACGGGUGAGUAACACGUGAGCAACCUGCCCUGGACUCUGGGAUAAGCGCUGGAAACGGCGUCUAAUACUGGAUACGAGACGUGGCCGCAUGGUCAACGUUUGGAAAGAUUUUUCGGUCUGGGAUGGGCUCGCGGCCUAUCAGCUUGUUGGUGAGGUAAUGGCUCACCAAGGCGUCGACGGGUAGCCGGCCUGAGAGGGUGACCGGCCACACUGGGACUGAGACACGGCCCAGACUCCUACGGGAGGCAGCAGUGGGGAAUAUUGCACAAUGGGCGGAAGCCUGAUGCAGCAACGCCGCGUGAGGGAUGACGGCCUUCGGGUUGUAAACCUCUUUUAGCAGGGAAGAAGCGAAAGUGACGGUACCUGCAGAAAAAGCGCCGGCUAACUACGUGCCAGCAGCCGCGGUAAUACGUAGGGCGCAAGCGUUAUCCGGAAUUAUUGGGCGUAAAGAGCUCGUAGGCGGUUUGUCGCGUCUGCUGUGAAAUCCCGAGGCUCAACCUCGGGCCUGCAGUGGGUACGGGCAGACUAGAGUGCGGUAGGGGAGAUUGGAAUUCCUGGUGUAGCGGUGGAAUGCGCAGAUAUCAGGAGGAACACCGAUGGCGAAGGCAGAUCUCUGGGCCGUAACUGACGCUGAGGAGCGAAAGGGUGGGGAGCAAACAGGCUUAGAUACCCUGGUAGUCCACCCCGUAAACGUUGGGAACUAGUUGUGGGGUCCUUUCCACGGAUUCCGUGACGCAGCUAACGCAUUAAGUUCCCCGCCUGGGGAGUACGGCCGCAAGGCUAAAACUCAAAGGAAUUGACGGGGACCCGCACAAGCGGCGGAGCAUGCGGAUUAAUUCGAUGCAACGCGAAGAACCUUACCAAGGCUUGACAUACACGAGAACGGGCCAAAAAUGGUCAACUCUUUGGACACUCCUGAACAGGUGGUGCAUGGGUGUCGUCAG
Molecule: ribosomal RNA, 998 nt
Filed under: Microbacterium resistens
Lineage: Bacteria; Bacillati; Actinomycetota; Actinomycetes; Micrococcales; Microbacteriaceae
Description: bacterial SSU rRNA
Rfam family: Bacterial small subunit ribosomal RNA
Source: RNAcentral